RNAcentral lists this ribosomal RNA (300 nucleotides) under uncultured Desulfurococcus sp. Its description in RNAcentral is "partial 16S ribosomal RNA". The stretch from base 52 to 300 matches the Rfam family "Bacterial small subunit ribosomal RNA", at positions 547 to 795 of the family's 1533-position model. Lineage: Archaea; Thermoproteati; Thermoproteota; Thermoprotei; Desulfurococcales; Desulfurococcaceae. The record is from RNAcentral.
GCGAACGGGGUGGAGGGGGGGGGGGUGGUACGUAGGGUGGGGGUGUUAAGUGGAAGUACGGGGGGUAGAGCGUGCGAAGGCGGUUAGGGAAGGCAGAGGGGAAAUCCCCGGGCGCAACCGGGGAACUGCGUUUGGGACUGCAUAACUAGAGGACGGCAGAGGGAGGUGGAAUUCCACGUGUAGCAGUGAAAUGCGGAGAGAUGUGGAGGAACACCGAUGGCGAAGGCAGCCUCCUGGGCCAGUACUGACGCUCAUGCACGAAAGCGUGGGGAGCAAACAGGAUUAGAAACCCGGGUAGUC